This 888-nucleotide long non-coding RNA is filed under the name Amborella trichopoda. Its description in RNAcentral is "long non-coding RNA (ATRI_LNC003445)". The record is from RNAcentral. Lineage: Eukaryota; Viridiplantae; Streptophyta; Magnoliopsida; Amborellales; Amborellaceae.
AGCAGUUGGAGCUCAUUGCAAAAGAAAUUCUUUCACCUUUGUAUAUGAUAUUCCAUCAUUUCACGGAGACAAUCAGGUAUGUUGUCUUUUGAUGAGUUCUUUUGUGCUUUGAAUGGAUACAAGUUGUAUCAUAGCAUAGUGGCUAAACUUCUCAAGAUGAAUGUUAUAGUUUCUACUGUUCCAAGAUGGGUUGAAUCUGGAGGGUGAGAGAAACCAUUAUCUCUCUCAUCAAUGUGGCUGGAUUUGAACUACUAUGAGUUUAAAUAGUGUAUUAUGCACAGUCAUGGUAAUAUUAUGGAUGGGAGGUUUCCUAAAUACUGCAUGUUUAUGUUCUUAUGCAAAAUAUUUUCAUUAUUAUACGAUAUAGGUGUUAUGUGUAUAUGACUUCUAUUCGAUAACUUGAAAUAUAUUUAUAUCAUUAUACAUAGAUUAUACAUAUCAUUCCAUAAAUAAAAAAUCUACAAAGAGAAUCAAAGUCACAUGUAAAAAAAAGUGGCUUCAAAAGCACAUAUUUCUCAGAAACUUAAAAAAAAAAACCACAAACAGAAACAAGAAAAGGUCCAUUUAACUCAAGGAAGGGACCUAUGUCAAUGGAAAAUAAAUCUUGACUCGACAAGAACAAGACAACAUGGAAUUGGCCUCCAGAAAUAGAUUGAAAUUAUAAAAUCUUACUCAGAAAUUGAAGAAAGAAGCUACAAACAGAAACAAUAAAUCUUGACCCAAGGAAGGGACCUAUGUCAAGGAAAAAUAAAUCUUGACUAAACCCCAAGAGGCCCUUUACAGCUAAUAGCCUAAUAUGGCAAAUAAAACAAUCAAGUGGCAAAAUCCUCAAAUAGAGGAUUAGAGUCCCCAUCAUCUCAUGUGCGUUGCUAAGGGAAGACUCUAUUG